Molecule: ribosomal RNA, 468 nt
Filed under: uncultured bacterium
Lineage: Bacteria
Description: partial 16S ribosomal RNA
Rfam family: Bacterial small subunit ribosomal RNA
Source: RNAcentral
GACGAACGCUGGCGGCGUGCUUAACACAUGCAAGUCGAACGGAAAGGCCCUGCUUUUGUGGGGUGCUCGAGUGGCGAACGGGUGAUUAACACGUGAGUAACCUGCCCUUGACUUUGGGAUAACUUCAGGAAACUGGGGCUAAUACCGGAUAGGAGCUCCUGCUGCAUGGUGGGGGUUGGAAAGUUUCGGCGGUUGGGGAUGGACUCGCGGCUUAUCAGCUUGUUGGUGGGGUAGUGGCUUACCAAGGCUUUGACGGGUAGCCGGCCUGAGAGGGUGACCGGCCACAUUGGGACUGAGAUACGGCCCAGACUCCUACGGGAGGCAGCAGUGGGGAAUAUUGCACAAUGGGCGGAAGCCUGAUGCAGCAACGCCGCGUGCGGGAUGACGGCCUUCGGGUUGUAAACCGCUUUCGCCUGUGACGAAGAGUGAGUGACGGUAAUGGGUAAAGAAGCACCGGCUAACUACGUG